AUUGAACGCUGGCGGCAGGCCUAACACAUGCAAGUCGAGCGGAUGAAGGGAGCUUGCUCCUGGAUUCAGCGGCGGACGGGUGAGUAAUGCCUAGGAAUCUGCCUGGUAGUGGGGGAUAACGUCCGGAAACGGGCGCUAAUACCGCAUACGUCCUGAGGGAGAAAGUGGGGGAUCUUCAGACCUCACGCUAUCAGAUGAGCCUAGGUCGGAUUAGCUAGUUGGUGGGGUAAAGGCCUACCAAGGCGACGAUCCGUAACUGGUCUGAGAGGAUGAUCAGUCACACUGGAACUGAGACACGGUCCAGACUCCUACGGGAGGCAGCAGUGGGGAAUAUUGGACAAUGGGCGAAAGCCUGAUCCAGCCAUGCCGCGUGUGUGAAGAAGGUCUUCGGAUUGUAAAGCACUUUAAGUUGGGAGGAAGGGCAGUAAGUUAAUACCUUGCUGUUUUGACGUUACCAACAGAAUAGGCACCGGCUAACUUCGUG
This 484-nucleotide ribosomal RNA is filed under the name uncultured bacterium. Its description in RNAcentral is "partial 16S ribosomal RNA". It matches the Rfam family "Bacterial small subunit ribosomal RNA", at positions 30 to 507 of the family's 1533-position model. The record is from RNAcentral.